RNAcentral lists this ribosomal RNA (245 nucleotides) under uncultured bacterium. RNAcentral's name for it is "partial 16S ribosomal RNA". It matches the Rfam family "Bacterial small subunit ribosomal RNA", at positions 524 to 768 of the family's 1533-position model. The record is from RNAcentral.
CACGGGGGGGGCAAGCGUUGUCCGGAAUUAUUGGGCGUAAAGGGCGCGUAGGUGGAAUAAUAAGUCUGGGGUGCAAACCUAUAGCUUAACUAUGGGCUUGCCUUGGAUACUGUUAUUCUUGAGUUCGGAAGAGGGAAGUGGAAUUCCUGGUGUAGCGGUGAAAUGCGUAGAUAUCAGGAAGAACACCGGUGGCGAAGGCGGCUUCCUGGUCCGAUACUGACACUGAUGCGCGAAAGUGUGGGGAG